AAUAUUGGACAAUGGGCGCAAGCCUGAUCCAGCCAUGCCGCGUGAGUGAAGAAGGCCUUCGGGUUGUAAAGCUCUUUUGUCCGGAAAGAAAAGCUGCCGGUUAAUACCCGGUGGUUAUGACGGUACCGGAAGAAUAAGCCCCGGCUAACUACGUGCCAGCAGCCGCGGUAAUACGUAGGGGGCAAGCGUUGUCCGGAUUUACUGGGCGUAAAGAGCGCGUAGGCGGAAGCUUAAGUGUGGUCUGAAAGCCCCCGGCUCAACCGGGGAAGGUGACUGCAAACUGGGUUUCUUGAGGGCGAUAGGGGUGAGCGGAAUUCCUGGUGUAGCGGUGAAAUGCGUAGAGAUCAGGAGGAACACCGAUGGCGAAGGCAGCUCUCUGGGUCGGCCCUGACGCUGAGGCGCGAAAGCGUGGGGAGCGAA
This 420-nucleotide ribosomal RNA is filed under the name uncultured bacterium. RNAcentral describes it as "bacterial SSU rRNA". It matches the Rfam family "Bacterial small subunit ribosomal RNA", at positions 360 to 772 of the family's 1533-position model. The record is from RNAcentral.